CCUACGGGUGGCAGCAGUGAGGAAUAUUGGUCAAUGGGCGGAAGCCUGAACCAGCCAAGUCGCGUGAGGGAUUAAGGCCCUGCGGGUCGUAAACCUCUUUUGCCGGGGAGCAGAGGUCCGGACGUGUCCGGGCCGGGAGAGUACCCGGAGAAAAAGCAUCGGCUAACUCCGGGCCGGCGGCCGCGGUAAUACGGGGGAUGCGAGCGUUAUCGGGAUUUAUUGGGUUUAAAGGGUGCGUAGGCGGGCAUUUAAGCCGGCGGGCAAAUGUGGGGGCCAAACCCCGGCCUGCCGUCGGAACUGGGUGCCUUGAGUGGGCGAGAAGUAUGCGGAAUUCGUGGUGUAGCGGUGAAAUGCAUAGAUAUCACGCAGAACCCCGAUUGCGAAGGCAGCAUACCGGCGCCCUACUGACGCUGAGGCACGAAAGUGCGGGUAUCGAACAGGAUUAGAUACCCCGGUAGUC
Molecule: ribosomal RNA, 460 nt
Filed under: uncultured bacterium
Lineage: Bacteria
Description: partial 16S ribosomal RNA
Rfam family: Bacterial small subunit ribosomal RNA
Source: RNAcentral